This 72-nucleotide transfer RNA is filed under the name Marmota monax (woodchuck). RNAcentral's name for it is "tRNA.Ala". Lineage: Eukaryota; Metazoa; Chordata; Mammalia; Rodentia; Sciuridae. The record is from RNAcentral.
GGGGGUUUAGCUCAGUGAUGGAGUGCUUGCCUAGCAUAUGCAAGGCCCUGGGUUCAAGUCCCAGAACUGUGG